Phyllostomus discolor (pale spear-nosed bat) is the source of this 654-nucleotide long non-coding RNA. RefSeq lists it as uncharacterized. NCBI's taxonomy places the organism in Eukaryota, Metazoa, Chordata, Mammalia, Chiroptera, Phyllostomidae. The record is from RefSeq and is a predicted model, not a curated record. The transcript is spliced from 2 exons.
UGGUGUUGUGGUGUUGUGUUAAGAACUUUGUGUGAUAGACAAAGUGAAAUGUUUUCUUUCUCCUCUUGGAGGUGGGAAAAAAGACUAGAAAAGCAUCUCAUUUAAUACCAUCUCUGCAGUUUGCCCUUCAACUUUUUUCUGUGCACAACAAAGCUACUUUAAAUGGCUUUAAAUAAUAAUAUGAGAUCUUUUUACCUUCCCGAAUAUAAUGAUGAACUACAAGAGAUCAUUUCUGAGUUCCACUGAGGCAGUGAAAAUAGAAAAUGUUACAAAGACACAUUCAGAAAAAUGGAUUUGUAAUGCCAGUAUUCUGAAUAAACAUUGUUUUGACUGUCAACUGUUGGUCUAUCAACAUAUUAGUUUGAAAGACACAAACUUUUUGUCUUUGUUAAUGUGAAGCGGUCCAGGGCAGGCUGACACAAACUGCCCGCAGGGAACUAUGAUUCCAUUAGGCUGAUGAUUCAUGUGAAUAUACCAGUACACUUCUCUGCACUUGACAGAACCCAGAGAGCAGAAAAUCUCUUUUUGGAAACAUGAGUCUGAGCUUUUCAAAGGCAGUUGGCACAUCCGUCAAUUGAAUGAGGAAGUGGCUGCUUUACCAUUGUUCUAAGACCAAAGAAGGAAGUUUCAUUCCCAUUGGUGACAGGGAUCUUU